GCGAAAACCCCGCAAGGGGUUAGUAGAGUGGCGAACGGGUGUAGUAACACGUGGGUGACCUACCUUCGAAUGGGGGAUAACGUCCCGAAAGGGACGCUAAUACCGCAUAACAUCCUGCUUUUGAACAAGUGGAGAUCAAAGCCGGGGAUCGCAAGACCUGGCGUUUGAAGAGGGGCCCGCGUCUGAUUAGCUAGUUGGUGAGGUAACGGCUCACCAAGGCAACGAUCAGUAUCCGGCCUGAGAGGGCGGACGGACACACUGGGACUGAGACGCGGCCCAGACUCCUACGGGAGGCAGCAGUGGGGAAUUGUUCGCAAUGGGCGCAAGCCUGACGACGCAACGCCGCGUGGAGGAUGAAGGUCUUCGGAUUGUAAACUCCUGUUGCCCGGGACGAAAUGCUUCGACCUAACACGUCGAAGUUUGACGGUACCGGGUGAGGAAGCCCCGGCUAACUCUGUGCCAGCAGCCGCGGUAAUACAGAGGGGGCAAGCGUUGUUCGGAAUUACUGGGCGUAAAGGGCGCGUAGGCGGCCUUCUAAGUCGAACGUGAAAUCCCCGGGCUCAACCCGGGAACUGCGUCCGAUACUGGAAGGCUUGAAUCCGGGAGAGGGAUGCGGAAUUCCAGGUGUAGCGGUGAAAUGCGUAGAUAUCUGGAGGAACACCGGUGGCGAAGGCGGCAUCCUGGACCGGUAUUGACGCUGAGGCGCGAAAGCCAGGGGAGCAAACGGGAUUAGAUACCCCGGUAGUCCUGGCCCUAAACGAUGAAUGCUUGGUGUGGCGGGUAUCGAUCCCUGCCGUGCCGAAGCUAACGCAUUAAGCAUUCCGC
Molecule: ribosomal RNA, 825 nt
Filed under: uncultured Bacillota bacterium
Lineage: Bacteria; Bacillati; Bacillota
Description: bacterial SSU rRNA
Rfam family: Bacterial small subunit ribosomal RNA
Source: RNAcentral